This 303-nucleotide ribosomal RNA is filed under the name uncultured bacterium. RNAcentral describes it as "partial 16S ribosomal RNA". It matches the Rfam family "Bacterial small subunit ribosomal RNA", at positions 507 to 807 of the family's 1533-position model. The record is from RNAcentral.
AGCAGUAGCCGCGGGAACACAGAGGGUGCGAGCGUUAAUCGGAUUUACUGGGCGUAAAGCGUGCGUAGGCGGCUUCUUAAGUCGGAUGUGAAAUCCCUGAGCUUAACUUAGGAAUUGCAUUCGAUACUGGGAAGCUAGAGUAUGGGAGAGGAUGGUAGAAUUCCAGGUGUAGCGGUGAAAUGCGUAGAGAUCUGGAGGAAUACCGAUGGCGAAGGCAGCCAUCUGGCCUAAUACUGACGCUGAGGUACGAAAGCAUGGGGAGCAAACAGGAUUAGAUACCCCUGUAGUCCCUGUCUCUUAUAC